AUGUUCCAUGAGUAUGACGCAGAAGAAAUCUGCAAAAUAAGGAUCCCGACAAGUAAUGUGAAGGACUGUAUAGCAUGGCAUGGGGAAAGGUCAGGCGUCUUCUCUGUGCGUAGUGCGUAUAAGAUUGGUGCAAACCUUAAAUACCACGGCGACCUAAACGCGUCCAGCUCAGCUAAUGAUGCGGAUAACAGAAGUAUAUGGGACCUAAUAUGGAAAACAAAGGUCCCUGGAAAGGUUAGGAUCUUUGCGUGGCGAGUUGCGACAGAAACACUCCCUACGAAGGAAAAUAAAUGGAAGAGGACACUGGAGGUGGAUAAUAUAUGCAGCAUUUGUGGCAGAGAGAAGGAGGAUGAGUUCCAUGCGACAAUAAAUUGCACAAAAGCAAGAGCACUAAGAGAAGAGAUGAGGGAGCACUGGAACCUACUUGCAGAAAACUGUUUUCGCUUUUCAGGCAAGGAUUGGCUACAAAACCUGCUGGGGAAGGGAGACAUGGAGGAGAGGAAAAGGAUCCUCCUUCUACUGUGGAGAGCUUGGUGGCUGCGAGAUAACUGUGUCCAUGUUGACGGCAGGGCUACAAUUGGC
Molecule: ribosomal RNA, 582 nt
Filed under: Triticum aestivum (bread wheat)
Lineage: Eukaryota; Viridiplantae; Streptophyta; Magnoliopsida; Poales; Poaceae
Description: partial small subunit ribosomal RNA
Source: RNAcentral